CAAACGACUCUCGGCAACGGAUAUCUCGGCUCACGCAUCGAUKAAGAACGUAGCAAAAUGCGAUACUUGGUGUGAAUUGCAGAAUCCCGUGAACCAUCGAGUUUUUGAACGCAAGUUGCGCCCGAAGCCAUUCGGUCGAGGGCACGUCUGCCUGGGCGUCACGC
RNAcentral lists this ribosomal RNA (164 nucleotides) under Elephantopus mollis. RNAcentral's name for it is "5.8S ribosomal RNA". It matches the Rfam family "5.8S ribosomal RNA". Rfam says of the family: 5.8S ribosomal RNA (5.8S rRNA) is a component of the large subunit of the eukaryotic ribosome. It is transcribed by RNA polymerase I as part of the 45S precursor that also contains 18S and 28S rRNA. Functionally, it is thought that 5.8S rRNA may be involved in ribosome translocation. Lineage: Eukaryota; Viridiplantae; Streptophyta; Magnoliopsida; Asterales; Asteraceae. The record is from RNAcentral.